This 1869-nucleotide unclassified non-coding RNA is filed under the name Hevea brasiliensis (rubber tree). Lineage: Eukaryota; Viridiplantae; Streptophyta; Magnoliopsida; Malpighiales; Euphorbiaceae. The record is from RNAcentral.
CUCCUAGGCCUUCCAAACACUUUCAUUUCCAAUCAAAAUACCUCAUACCCAUAAUUAAGCUCUACUCCACAAUCAUUGUGUAAUUAUAAACAAGCCAAGCCAACAUUCUUUAAUCUUAAUCCCAAACUAAAUAACCAAAGUACAUACUACAGAACUAUACCUGUUAUAUAUUAAUAUAACUUACAUAGAACAACCAGUACAUCUAUAGCAUUCCAUAGCAUGCUCCAAGUUGUGUACUGUUGUAUAUUUCUCUUUUUGUAGCAUUUUUUUUUUCUUUUUCCCUCCAAUACCUGUUAAAUAUCAUUUUUCUUUAUUUAAUUUUGAUUGAAAUUUGAAUAUGAAACUUAACAAUCUAAUAUCACCUCAUCUUUAAUUUCUAAAUAUGUGUUUUUCCCGUUUAUAUAUUUAACCUACUUUCUUUUUUCUUUGUGCACCAUAUUCUUUGGUAUUGAGUGCAUCAAAAACUGCAUUUGCGUCCGUAGAAACCAUGAUUUCAGAGGCGGACCAUAACCGUGCAGCUUCUGUUGAGCUGGAUCCCAGUUUCGACGUUGAAGCUUCGUUACAAUCGGCAAAAUACUUUCCAGACACAUUCAACAGUCUCGGAUGAGUUGCUACGAAACAAGUUGUUGCAGCAGCCUGAGGAAUUGUCUUCAAGAGCUUGGACGCCAUGAAAAACACCAUAUCUUUUCCCCCCAACUUAAAUCCCAAAUAGGCUUUAGAGGAACUUGUUUGAGACCUGUGACUAGGCCUUCUCGUUCUCGGGUGAGUCUGGUUCUCACUAUUCCUGGAUGGAUACAAUUGACAGUCACGUCGGCUUGCAUUUGCUUCAAUCUCUGAGCAAGCUCCUUGGUGUGCAAAACGUUAGCCAGCUUCGAGAGAGCGUAAGCACGUGUGGCAUCGUAACGACCGGGGAGAAAGAAGAAGAAGAAGAAGAUAAAAAAUUCAGAAGAAAAAGGUCAAACCAAAAGAUGCACAUAUGUACUGCGAAAUAAUGAUUUGGUCACUCACCCUUUAUUUCCGGAUAUUUCCGCGAGAUAUUGGAUCAUAUCUCCGGAGAACCAGCCGUGAAUAGUUGAUGAAACGUUCACGAUUCUGCCUUGGAUGCCGGAUUCUUUUGCAGUUUCGAUCAUCUUCCUCAACAACAAUUUCGUUAACAGAAAAUGACCAAGAUAAUUAGUGGCAAAGGUCAUUUCUAUUCCAUCUUCCGAUAUUGCAUGUUCGUCUGCGAACUUGCCAGCAUUAUUUAUGAGGAGAUUGAGGGGCAAAUUGAGAGACUCGAACUCUGCAACGAAGUUUCGAACAGAGUUGAGAGAGCUAAGAUCAAUUGCCAUAACAAUGAUUUCAGAAUCGGGACACUCGGAAACCAUACGCGCCUUUGUAUCCUCGGCCGCUUUCAUGUUGCGAACCGGGAGUACCAGUCUCGCUCCUUGUUUCGCCAACACUCUCGCUGUCUCGGCUCCUAUUCCUGAAGUGGCGCCGGUGAUGAUGGCAGUGAUGGAACGCAGAUCGCAGCUAGCAGUGACUUGAUCGGCUGUGGACUUAGAGCCGAAACCAGUGGGGCCGGCUGAGCCGAUGAGGUAGCUGACAGUUUCCAGCAUUUCUCUCCUCUUUUGACUGGUUUCGUUUGUGCAACUAACAGAUGUAGUAGUACUAUUGCAUGGACAAGCAAUAUGGAAUCAAAUCAAGCAACAAAGCAGUACGUCUUGAGCAGAGUGGCGUUAGUGCUGUGUCGGGGAAGCAGCGAAAAAAGGCGUUGUUUUUUGUCAGAGAUUUCGCAGCCAACGCCGCUUUGCAUUUAGCUCACGGAGAGAAAGAGAAAGGAGAGGGCUAACGGAAAAGGAAAGAGCGGGAUGGCGAUUUUAUAAAGAG